CUAGUACCAAAAAAAAAAAAAAAUUAUGUUGAUCUUGUUCUAAAAUUUUUAAGAGUUAAGAUUUAAGCAUAUGUAAAUGCUCCCCACAUAACUAAAUAUUUUUGUUAUAUGUAAAAUAUUGUGUAAAGUAAAUGUAAAAGAUAUUAUGCCAGGAUGUUUUAGUUUUUACUUUUGCCAUUUAAUUCAGUAUGCAGUUUUCUCAGAUCCUUUCACUGUCUUCUAUAGCUACUCAUCCAUUCUCUACUCUCCCCUUUCUCCCAUCACCCCAUAACUCCUCCAUCCUAUAAACUUACCCCAAAAGACUUACCAUUACUUUAUCACACAUAAGAUAUUAGUGUGGGAUGGGAAUAUGGCUAAGAGAUAGGAUAUGACUCUUCCCUUAAAGCAGAACAUAAUUGAUCAGGCCAAGUCAACAUGUCUCCCUGAGGAGGCUGACACCUUGAGGUCAGCUCAUCCGAUGACGGGUAAGGACCAUAUGUAGUAUUGGACAACCUAAGACAGGCAUGGUUCCUAAGCCACAUGCUUGUUAUUUAUUUAAACAGAAGGGGGGAGAUGUUGAGAGCCACAGUUUAGUCAGAAUGACGCCUGGCAUUUUUGCCAAAGGGAAUGGUUGAAAGGUGACCCUGCUCCAGGAUUAGGGCAGCUCUGGGAUUAGGGCGGAUCCUGCUGCCUCGGGCACCCACUACUUUGGAUUUCCCAUUNGCAUUAUUAUUUUUACAGAUGAAAAGUAGUUUACAUACAAUUUUAUAUAAACUGCAUAAUCCAUUACACAAACAGAACUGCUUAUUUUCAAAUGACAAAAUGUUCUAUCCAACUUAAUUAAAAACUUCUCCUGGAUUUGGACAUGCCCCUUUGCAAAAUUGGCCACUAUUCUAAUUCUCAGUCACCAAUUAAAAUCAGCACAGCAAAAUUACUGAAGACUGCAUGCUGGAAAAAAAAAAACUAACAAAGGGAUGGCCAUAUCUGUUUUAAGUACAAACUAACUUGACUUUUCACUACCAGCUUUCUUUAAAUUAUGCCAGGCAAGGUGGUGCAUGCCUAUAAUCCUUAGUGGUUUGAGUGGUGGAGACAAGCAAGUUCAAGGUCAGUCUUAGCAAUUUGGCAAGGUCCUAAACAACUUAGUGAGACCCUGUCUAAAGAUUCUUAAAAAAUUUUAAACAGUUGGGGAUACUGUAGCUCAAUGGCAAAUUGCCCAUGGGUUAAUUCCUAGUACCAAAAAAAAAAAAUUAUGUUGAUCUUGUUCUAAAAUUUUUAAGAGUUAAGAUUUAAGCAUAUGUAAAUGCUCCCCACAUAACUAAAUAUUUUUGUUAUAUGUAAAAUAUUGUGUAAAGUAAAUGUAAAAGAUAUUAUGCCAGGAUGUUUUAGUUUUUACUUUUGCCAUUUAAUUCAGUAUGCAGUUUUCUCAGAUCCUUUCACUGUCUCCUAUAGCUACUCAUCCAUUCUCUACUCUCCCCUUUCUCCCAUCACCCCAUAACUCCUCCAUCCUAUAAACUCACCCCAAAAGACUUACCAUUACUUUCUCACACAUAAGAUAUUAGUGUGGGAUGGGAAUAUGGCUAAGAGAUAGGAUAUGACUCUUCCCUUAAAGCAGAACAUAAUUGAUCAGGCCAAGUCAACAUGUCUCCCUGAGGAGGCUGACACCUUGAGGUCAGCUCAUCCGAUGACGGGUAAGGACCAUAUGUAGUAUUGGACAACCUAAGACAGGCAUGGUUCCUAAGCCACAUGCUUGUUAUUUAUUUAAACAGAAGGGGGGAGAUGUUGAGAGCCACAGUUUAGUCAGAAUGACGCCUGGCAUUUUUGCCAAAGGGAAUGGUUGAAAGGUGACCCUGCUCCAGGAUUAGGGCAGCUCCAGGAUUAGGUUGGAUCCUGCUGGGAAUAGGGCAGCUCCAGGAUUAGGGCGGAUCCUGCUGCCUCAGGCACCCACGUUGAGUUCUCGUGGGGUUCUGAGAGAAUUGGCGCGGAGUCUGGUGGAGGGAGUGUGUUCCCGGGAAGUGUGUGUAGAGUGCCAGUGAGAGUUCGGGAAUAAACAGUUGCUGUUUGAACCUACAAGGCUGUGUGGCGGCUCGGUUAUUUGUGCCCAGCCAGACUGCGGCAUUUGGUAGCCCAUGCGGGGAACGCCUGAAGCUUGGAGGUAAGUGAAAUUGCUCGCCCAUGAAGGAGAGCGAAAGAAUGGGUGACCAUUUCAAAAAACAAUGUGUUCUUGUUUUGAUUUAUUUUGUUUUUAUUUCAAGCUGCCUGUCCCUAGAACUUUCUCAGGCAAACUGGGGAAAAUGGUUGGCUCAAGGUUUGAAGUUGUUCGCCCCUGAGGAACAGAUAGAGAUAGACCACAAAUGCACAUGUCAAGAAAAUAGAAAAACUGAUACAACGAUUUUUUGUUCCAUUUUUGUUUCAUUCUGUUUCGGUUUUGUUUUGCGUUAUUUUGUUGGGUUGCGUUAUCUUUAUAAUAGAUCAGAAAUUAGUAAAAAAACAAACCGAAAGAAUGUUAAGUAAAUUGUUAGAGGUCCAGACUAUGGUAGAUCAAGUAAAAGAGAAGGUCUCUCGAGUUAGUCAGACUGAAGUAGAAAAUUUAAAGGAAAAGGGGCUAUCAGAAAAAAAGUUACAACAGGAGGCUGCUACUAACACCUUUCUAUCACCAGAGGGCUACCAACCAACAGCUCCACCUAUAGAGACAACAUAUGCUGUGGGGCCCCCAACCCCCGUAGUUGAUAGAUGGGAUCCUGAGACAAGACCUCAAAGAUUAGCAUGCUCUGUAUUUGAGCAGACAGGAGGGCAGUGAAUUCACCGUACUUUAGAUUUCAAAACAGUGAAGCAGCUAAAAGAGGCUGCAACAACCUAUGGUCCCUAAGCACCCUUCACUGUAAGCAUGGUCGAAUCCAUUACCAACUUGGACAUGACUCCAGCAGAUUGGGCUAGCAUGUGUAAAGCUGUGCUAAAUGGAGGGCAAUAUUUGUUAUGGAAGGGUUGCCAAUCAGGAAUUUUGCACGGAGACAGCUAGGCGAAAUGCAGCAGCCAGUUAUCCUCAGAGAAAUCUAGAUAUGUUGUUAGGACAGGGACCUUAUGAGGGUCAGCGGCAACGAAUUGAAUAUGAUUCUGCUAUAUAUUCACAAAUUGCUGCAGAUGCGGUUAGGGCAUGGAAGACUUUACAAGGACAUGGAGAUUUACAAGGACAAUUAUCUAAGGUUAUACAAGGAGCUAAUGAACCUUACGCUGAAUUUGUAGAUAGGCUUAUUCAAACAGCUACCAGAGUUUUUGGGGAUACAGAACAAGCAAUGCCAUUAAUUAAACAGCUAGCCUUUGAGCAAGCAAAUCGUUGGUGCAAGGAAGCCAUUAGACCAUGGAAACAUGAAGAUUUAAACACAUAUAUUAAAUUAUGUAGAGACAUUAAUAAACAAGGGCAAGUCUUGGCAGCUGCAGUACAACAGGCUUUAGAUGCCAGGCAUCAUUCUGACUAAACUGUGGUUCUCAACAUCUCCAGCUAGCUGAGAGAGAAAUGUAAGACAGACAUGAUCCACUACAGCAGGAAAUAAAAUUCAUCCUGGCAAGAGCUGGGAGGAUCUAUCUACAGGAAGCUGUGGAAAUCUCAUAUCAAAUCUCAUAUUAUAAUCGAU
RNAcentral lists this long non-coding RNA (3608 nucleotides) under Marmota monax (woodchuck). The record is from RNAcentral. Lineage: Eukaryota; Metazoa; Chordata; Mammalia; Rodentia; Sciuridae.